RNAcentral lists this ribosomal RNA (497 nucleotides) under uncultured bacterium. Its description in RNAcentral is "partial 16S ribosomal RNA". It matches the Rfam family "Bacterial small subunit ribosomal RNA", at positions 28 to 507 of the family's 1533-position model. The record is from RNAcentral.
GAUGAACGCCGGCGGCGUGCCUAAUACAUGCAAGUCGAGCGAACAGACGAGGAGCUUGCUCCUCUGACGUUAGCGGCGGACGGGUGAGUAACACGUGGAUAACCUACCUAUAAGACUGGGAUAACUUCGGGAAACCGGAGCUAAUACCGGAUAAUAUAUUGAACCGCAUGGUUCAAUAGUGAAAGACGGUUUUGCUGUCACUUAUAGAUGGAUCCGCGCCGCAUUAGCUAGUUGGUAAGGUAACGGCUUACCAAGGCAACGAUGCGUAGCCGACCUGAGAGGGUGAUCGGCCACACUGGAACUGAGACACGGUCCAGACUCCUACGGGAGGCAGCAGUAGGGAAUCUUCCGCAAUGGGCGAAAGCCUGACGGAGCAACGCCGCGUGAGUGAUGAAGGUCUUCGGAUCGUAAAACUCUGUUAUUAGGGAAGAACAAAUGUGCAAGUAACUAUGCACGUCUUGACGGUACCUAAUCAGAAAGCCACGGCUAACUACGUG